Molecule: ribosomal RNA, 480 nt
Filed under: Bacillus cereus
Lineage: Bacteria; Bacillati; Bacillota; Bacilli; Caryophanales; Bacillaceae
Description: bacterial SSU rRNA
Rfam family: Bacterial small subunit ribosomal RNA
Source: RNAcentral
GAUGAACGCUGGCGGCGUGCCUAAUACAUGCAAGUCGAGCGAAUGGAUUAAGAGCUUGCUCUUAUGAAGUUAGCGGCGGACGGGUGAGUAACACGUGGGUAACCUGCCCAUAAGACUGGGAUAACUCCGGGAAACCGGGGCUAAUACCGGAUAACAUUUUGAACCGCAUGGUUCGAAAUUGAAAGGCGGCUUCGGCUGUCACUUAUGGAUGGACCCGCGUCGCAUUAGCUAGUUGGUGAGGUAACGGCUCACCAAGGCAACGAUGCGUAGCCGACCUGAGAGGGUGAUCGGCCACACUGGGACUGAGACACGGCCCAGACUCCUACGGGAGGCAGCAGUAGGGAAUCUUCCGCAAUGGACGAAAGUCUGACGGAGCAACGCCGCGUGAGUGAUGAAGGCUUUCGGGUCGUAAAACUCUGUUGUUAGGGAAGAACAAGUGCUAGUUGAAUAAGCUGGCACCUUGACGGUACCUAACCAGGA